AUUGAACGCUGGCGGAAUGCUUUACACAUGCAAGUCGAACGGCAGCACGGUGGCAGCCCUGUUUUCGAGUGGCGAACGGGUGAGUAAUACAUCGGAACAUGCCCGUUCGCUGUGUAUAACGUAGCGACAGUUACGCUCAUACCGCAUACGAUCUGAGGAUGAAAGCGGGGGACCUUCGGGCCUUGCGCCCUCGGAGCGUCCGAUGUCGGAUUAGGUAGUUGGUGGGGUAAAGGCCUACCAAGCCGACGAUCUGUAGCUGGUCUGAGAGGACGACCAGCCACACUGGGACUGAGACACGGUCCAGACUCCUACGGGAGGCAGCAGUGGGGAAUUUUGGACAAUGGGCGCAAGCCUGAUCCAGCCAUUCCGCGUGCAGGACGAAGGCCUUCGGGUUGUAAACUGCUUUUGUAGGGAACGAAAAGGCUCUGGCUAAUACCUGGGGGUCAUGACGGUACCGUAAGAAUAAGCACCGGCUAACUACGUG
Molecule: ribosomal RNA, 484 nt
Filed under: uncultured bacterium
Lineage: Bacteria
Description: partial 16S ribosomal RNA
Rfam family: Bacterial small subunit ribosomal RNA
Source: RNAcentral